This 255-nucleotide ribosomal RNA is filed under the name uncultured bacterium. RNAcentral's name for it is "partial 16S ribosomal RNA". It matches the Rfam family "Bacterial small subunit ribosomal RNA", at positions 524 to 776 of the family's 1533-position model. The record is from RNAcentral.
UACGUAGGGUGCGAGCGUUGUCCGGAAUUACUGGGCGUAAAGAGCUCGUAGGUGGUUUGUCGCGUUGUUCGUGAAAUCUCACGGCUUAACUGUGAGCGUGCGGGCGAUACGGGCAGACUAGAGUACUGCAGGGGAGACUGGAAUUCCUGGUGUAGCGGUGGGAAAUGCGCAGAUAUCAGGAGGAACACCGGUGGCGAAGGCGGGUCCCUGGGCAGUAACUGACGCUGAGGAGCGAAAGCGUGGGGAGCGAACAGG